This 496-nucleotide ribosomal RNA is filed under the name uncultured bacterium. Its description in RNAcentral is "partial 16S ribosomal RNA". It matches the Rfam family "Bacterial small subunit ribosomal RNA", at positions 29 to 507 of the family's 1533-position model. The record is from RNAcentral.
AUGAACGCUGGCGGCGUGCCUCAUACAUGCCAGUCGAGCGAACGGACGAGAAGCUUGCUUCUCUGAUGUUAGCGGCGGACGGGUGAGUAACACGUGGAUAACCUGCCUAUAAGACUGGGAUAACUUCGGGAAACCGGAGCUAAUACCGGAUAAUAUUUUGAACCGCAUGGUUCAAAAGUGAAAGACGGUCUUGCUGUCACUUAUAGAUGGAUCCGCGCUGCAUUAGCUAGUUGGUAAGGUAACGGCUUACCAAGGCAACGAUGCAUAGCCGACCUGAGAGGGUGAUCGGCCACACUGGAACUGAGACACGGUCCAGACUCCUACGGGAGGCAGCAGUAGGGAAUCUUCCGCAAUGGGCGAAAGCCUGACGGAGCAACGCCGCGUGAGUGAUGAAGGUCUUCGGAUCGUAAAACUCUGUUAUUAGGGAAGAACAUAUGUGUAAGUAACUGUGCACAUCUUGACGGUACCUAAUCAGAAAGCCACGGCUAACUACGUG